UUUCCUACGGGGGGCAGCAGUGAGGAAUAUUGGUCAAUGGUCGGGAGACUGAACCAGCCAAGCCGCGUGAGGGAGGAAGGUACAGAGUAUCGUAAACCUCUUUUGUCAGGGAACAAAGGCGGGGACGUGUCCCCGGAUGAGUGUACCUGAAGAAAAAGCAUCGGCUAACUCCGUGCCAGCAGCCGCGGUAAUACGUAUGGGGCAAGCGUUAUCCGGAUUUACUGGGUGUAAAGGGAGCGUAGGCGGCCUGGCAAGCCUGAUGUGAAAUACCGGGGCCCAACCCCGGGGCUGCAUUGGGAACUGCC
This 305-nucleotide ribosomal RNA is filed under the name uncultured bacterium. RNAcentral describes it as "bacterial SSU rRNA". It matches the Rfam family "Bacterial small subunit ribosomal RNA", at positions 335 to 637 of the family's 1533-position model. The record is from RNAcentral.